This 517-nucleotide ribosomal RNA is filed under the name Epizoanthus inazuma. Its description in RNAcentral is "partial 16S ribosomal RNA". It matches the Rfam family "Bacterial large subunit ribosomal RNA", at positions 2006 to 2461 of the family's 2925-position model. The record is from RNAcentral. Lineage: Eukaryota; Metazoa; Cnidaria; Anthozoa; Zoantharia; Epizoanthidae.
GAAGGCCCCACUGUCUUAAGAGAAUUYCCAGUGAAAUUGAAUUCGUAGUGAAGAUGCUACGUCCAAUUUGUUAGACGAAAAGACCCCAUUGAGCUUUACUGGAGACUUUCAUUGCUCGGAUCGACUCUCGCCCCCCUGUAGGGGGGGGUSGAAUUUAAAUGGAUAGUUUAGAUUAUGUGGUGUCAUAACCAUCGAUCAAGUAGUCCCUACGGGAUUGCCCCGAAGGUUGACCUGUUUGGGUGAAUGAAACCCCACUCUUUUAUGUUAAAUGAGCUAACCCUUUCUCUCUUASGGGGGACAAUGAAAGUUGGACAGUUUGGUUGGGGCGACCGCCUUUUAAAGAGUAACGAAGGUGUGCUUAAGGUACAAAAAAUAAUAUCAGUAKCCUGACUGCGAGGGGGAUACCCCGAGCAGACACCUAAAGUCUUCUCCCUUCCCUCCCGAAAGGUUAAGACGAAUGGUGGGUUAUAGUGACCCGUUAAUUUAGAGUGGAAUAGUUAACGAUCAACAAAUAAAA